GGCGCCUUCGUCUAACGGUUAGGACACAGGCUUCUCAAGUCUGGAACACGGGUUCGAUUCCCGUAGGCGCUA
This 72-nucleotide transfer RNA is filed under the name Candidatus Daviesbacteria bacterium. RNAcentral describes it as "tRNA-Glu". It matches the Rfam family "tRNA". Rfam says of the family: Transfer RNA (tRNA) molecules are approximately 80 nucleotides in length. Their secondary structure includes four short double-helical elements and three loops (D, anti-codon, and T loops). The record is from RNAcentral. Lineage: Bacteria; Candidatus Daviesiibacteriota.